ACGCUGGCGGCGUGCUUAACACAUGCAAGUCGAACGGUGAAGAGGAGCUUGCUCCUUGGAUCAGUGGCGAACGGGUGAGUAACACGUGAGUAACCUGCCCCAAACUCUGGGAUAAGCACUGGAAACGGUGUCUAAUACCGGAUACGAGCUUCAGCCGCAUGGCUAGGAGUUGGAAAGAAUUUCGGUUUGGGAUGGACUCGCGGCCUAUCAGCUAGUUGGUGAGGUAAUGGCUCACCAAGGCGACGACGGGUAGCCGGCCUGAGAGGGUGACCGGCCACACUGGGACUGAGACACGGCCCAGACUCCUACGGGAGGCAGCAGUGGGGAAUAUUGCACAGUGGGCGCAAGCCUGAUGCAGCAACGCCGCGUGAGGGACGACGGCCUUCGGGUUGUAAACCUCUUUUAGUAGGGAAGAAGCGAAAGUGACGGUACCUGCAGAAAAAGCACCGGCUAACUACGUGCCAGCAGCCGCGGUAAUACGUAGGGUGCAAGCGUUGUCCGGAAUUAUUGGGCGUAAAGAGCUCGUAGGCGGUUUGUCGCGUCUGCUGUGAAAACCCGAGGCUCAACCUCGGGCCUGCAGUGGGUACGGGCAGACUAGAGUGCGGUAGGGGAGAUUGGAAUUCCUGGUGUAGCGGUGGAAUGCGCAGAUAUCAGGAGGAACACCAAUGGCGAAGGCAGAUCUCUGGGCCGUAACUGACGCUGAGGAGCGAAAGCAUGGGGAGCGAAAC
This 728-nucleotide ribosomal RNA is filed under the name uncultured bacterium. Its description in RNAcentral is "bacterial SSU rRNA". It matches the Rfam family "Bacterial small subunit ribosomal RNA", at positions 33 to 774 of the family's 1533-position model. The record is from RNAcentral.